AUGAGAAGGUAUUCUCAGUCUGAUCAAGAAGCCAAUUCGGAGUGCCCCUACAUGAAUUGGAGGCACAAUAUCGAACCUGAAUUUGCGACCAUCGUUCUUGCCGACCAAGAAUACUUGACAAACAUCUCAAUUCAGAAGCAGCUUGUUGGAAACGACAUCCCAUAUGACAUUACAUCAUGCCAGAUGUUCUUCCUGCCUGUCCCCCUCGAGGACGGCUGGAUAGUGAUCAUGUGGGACAUGAUGUCAAGGAAGCUCCAUGUACUUGACCCGCUCAUCAGGGGAGAAGGUCCGCAUGACGCAACGAGAGAUAAGCAUGAGAUAUUGCCUGGAAGCUACAUCAUGCACUUUUCCAAUGCCUUAACGAGUAUUAUGCUGGGUGGCCAACGCAAGACGGACAAUGGUCAACCAAAUACCCAGUAA
This 420-nucleotide ribosomal RNA is filed under the name Triticum aestivum (bread wheat). RNAcentral's name for it is "partial small subunit ribosomal RNA". The record is from RNAcentral. Lineage: Eukaryota; Viridiplantae; Streptophyta; Magnoliopsida; Poales; Poaceae.